GUGCCUUUGUCGGAAUGGGUCUUGAUUUUCUAAUGAGAUCAUACGCCUCUUAAUCAGCGGGUCCCAGGUUCGAGCCCUGGUGCGCCCACCA
RNAcentral lists this transfer RNA (91 nucleotides) under Bradyrhizobium sp. cir1. RNAcentral's name for it is "tRNA-OTHER". The record is from RNAcentral. Lineage: Bacteria; Pseudomonadati; Pseudomonadota; Alphaproteobacteria; Hyphomicrobiales; Nitrobacteraceae.